This 782-nucleotide ribosomal RNA is filed under the name uncultured Thermaceae bacterium. RNAcentral describes it as "bacterial SSU rRNA". It matches the Rfam family "Bacterial small subunit ribosomal RNA", at positions 557 to 1343 of the family's 1533-position model. Lineage: Bacteria; Thermotogati; Deinococcota; Deinococci; Thermales; Thermaceae. The record is from RNAcentral.
GGCGUAAAGGGCGUGUAGGCGGUCUUUCAAGUCCGAUGCUAAAGACUGGGGCUCAACCCCAGGGGUGCGUUGGAUACUGUGAGGCUAGACGGUCGGAGGGGGUAGCGGAAUUUCCGGAGUAGCGGUGAAAUGCGCAGAUACCGGAAGGAACGCCAAUAGCGAAGGCAGCUACCUGGACGACUUGUGACGCUGAGGCGCGAAAGCGUGGGGAGCAAACCGGAUUAGAUACCCGGGUAGUCCACGCCCUAAACCAUGAGUGCUGGGUGUCCGGCUUCUGCUGGGUGCCGUAGCUAACGCGCUAAGCACUCCGCCUGGGAAGUACGCACGCAAGUGUGAAACUCAAAGGAAUUGACGGGGGCCCGCACAAGCGGUGGAGCAUGUGGUUUAAUUCGAAGCGACGCGAAGAACCUUACCAGGCCUUGACAUGCCCGGAACCCCUCUGAAAGGAGGGGGUGCCCGCAAGGGAGCCGGGACACAGGUGCUGCAUGGCCGUCGUCAGCUCGUGUCGUGAGAUGUUGGGUUAAGUCCCGCAACGAGCGCAACCCCUAUCCCUAGUUGCCAGCAGUUCGGCUGGGCACUCUAUGGAGACUGCCUGCGAAAGCAGGAGGAAGGCGGGGAUGACGUCUGGUCCGCAUGGCCCUUACGGCCUGGGCGACACACGUGCUACAAUGCCAAGGACAGAGCGCUGCUACCUCGCGAGAGGACGCCAAUCGCAAAAACCUUGGCUCAGUUCGGAUUGGAGUCUGCAACUCGACUCCAUGAAGCCGGAAUCGCUAGUAAUC